RNAcentral lists this long non-coding RNA (295 nucleotides) under Durio zibethinus. RNAcentral's name for it is "long non-coding RNA (DZIB_LNC000682)". The record is from RNAcentral. Lineage: Eukaryota; Viridiplantae; Streptophyta; Magnoliopsida; Malvales; Malvaceae.
GCUCCUGGACCUUAUCCACCACCACAGCCAGCUGGUUACGGAUACCCACCGCCACCUGUAGCGGCUGCAUAUGGUGGAUACCCACAACAGGCACCACCUCCACCAGGGUAUGGGUACCCACCUCCACCAGGGUAUGGGUACCCACCUCCACCUCCAGGAUAUAGUUACCCUCCACCAGGGGGAUAUGGGUACCCACCAGUGCAACAGCCGCCAAAGAAGAACAGCAAUUUGGGAUUGGGAUUGGGAGCUGGGUUGCUUGGAGGGGCGAUUGGAGGGCUGUUGAUUGGAGAUAUGG